RNAcentral lists this unclassified non-coding RNA (299 nucleotides) under uncultured Gammaproteobacteria bacterium. RNAcentral describes it as "contains 16S-23S intergenic spacer region". The record is from RNAcentral. Lineage: Bacteria; Pseudomonadati; Pseudomonadota; Gammaproteobacteria.
UCCGGUUUGUCACCGGCAGUCCCAUUAGAGUGCUCAACUGAAUGUAGCAACUAAUGGCAAGGGUUGCGCUCGUUGCGGGACUUAACCCAACAUCUCACGACACGAGCUGACGACAGCCAUGCAGCACCUGUGUUACGGCUCCCUUUCGGGCACACCUCCAUCUCUGGAGGCUUCCGUACAUGUCAAGGGUAGGUAAGGUUUUUCGCGUUGCAUCGAAUUAAUCCACAUAAUCCACCGCUUGUGCGGGUCCCCGUCAAUCCGACCAACACCUAGUUCACAACGUUUAGGGCGUGGACUAC